Molecule: transfer RNA, 73 nt
Filed under: Pelobates cultripes (western spadefoot toad)
Lineage: Eukaryota; Metazoa; Chordata; Amphibia; Anura; Pelobatidae
Description: tRNA.Val
Rfam family: tRNA
About the family: Transfer RNA (tRNA) molecules are approximately 80 nucleotides in length. Their secondary structure includes four short double-helical elements and three loops (D, anti-codon, and T loops).
Source: RNAcentral
GGUUUCAUAGUGUAGUGGUUAUCACGUCUGCUUUACACGCAGAAGGUCCUGGGUUCGAUCUCCAGUGAAACCA